GCGACUUCGCUUCGGUGGUGAACUAUUUAUUUUCUUGUGUGGGUGUCCCAAAUAGUGAAAACGAACGUAAUAUUUAUAAUGGACUGGCGGUAGUUAUCCAUGUGCUCAUUCCAAUGUGAGAAAAGCGGCCGUCGACAUGUUGAAUGUGCAUAAACUUUGGCUGUUGUCAUGUCUCUCUGUUGUUGUUAUUGUAGUUUUAUAUUUUCAAGCAGAAAUAGCGCGUUUGGAGGAGAACUAUCAAAAAUUAGAAUACAGACUCGUCCAACCGCACGUAGAAUCUCGUCAAUUUUUCCCGAGACCGGUGGAAAGAGAUGACGAUGACUUAGUGGUCAUAUACAAUAGGGUCCCGAAGACGGGCUCAACGAGUUUCGUGGGUGUGGCGUAUGAUUUGUGUAAGAAAAAUCACUUCAAAGUGCUACAUAUCAAUAUUACUGCCAACCAACAUGUUAUGUCGCUCAAUAACCAGCUAAAGUUCGCGAGAAACGUUACAAUGUGGCAGGAGAUGAAACCAGCUCUUUAUCACGGUCAUAUGGCAUUCCUGAACUUUGAUAGGCUAGGCACCUCAUCUAAACCACUAUAUAUCAACUUAAUCAGAAAGCCUCUAGACCGGCUGGUGUCAUAUUACUACUUCCUCCGCAACGGAGACAACUUCAGACCACAUCUAGUCAGAAAAAAACAUGGAGACAAAAUGACGUUCGACGAGUGUGUGGAAAGGGGUCAGCCGGACUGCGACCCCAACAACAUGUGGAUGCAGGUUCCCUUCUUCUGCGGACACGCUGCUCAAUGCUGGAAACCCGGCAACCCCUGGGCUUUGCAGCAAGCGAAAAACAACCUAGUCAACCAUUACCUCCUUGUUGGAGUUACUGAGGAUAUGAUGGACUUUAUCACAGUCCUCGAGGCAGCCAUACCACGGCUCUUUAAAGGCGCCACGGAACACUAUUUAAACAGCAACAAGUCACAUUUAAGACAAACAAGUGCUAAAAUAGAACCCAAUUUCAAAACCAUAGAACGUAUUCAACAGUCUCCUGUAUGGAGAAUGGAAAAUGAACUCUACGAGUUUGCGUUAGAACAUUUUAAGUUUGUCAAGAAAAAAGUUUUACUACGUGAAAGUAAUAGCGUUGCUCAAAUAUAUUUCUACGAGAAAAUACGGCCUAAAUGAUUUUUUUUCGCUCUAAGAAAAUGUACAGUUGAUAUUCAACUAUUUAUUAGGUGGGGAUGUAUUGAAGUAGCAUUUCGGAAUUGCCAGCCGGGCGCCCUCAGGCCUGUUGUCCUAUGAUUUGUACCAUGUGAGAGCUCUCAGCGCUCCUGUCUUGUCCCGCCUUGUGGGCAAGUAGUGAAUGCCAUGCGAGGAUUUACAAUAAGCUGUCGCUGUCG
RNA transcript from Pectinophora gossypiella (pink bollworm), 1374 nucleotides. It is a transcript of the gene named heparin sulfate O-sulfotransferase, with no coding region annotated. The transcript is spliced from 6 exons. The record is from RefSeq and is a predicted model, not a curated record. NCBI's taxonomy places the organism in Eukaryota, Metazoa, Arthropoda, Insecta, Lepidoptera, Gelechiidae.